CGGAAUUUUCCCUAAAAUAAAGAAAAAAAGUAGUUGACAAUGCACAGCAAGUUCGCAAUUGAAAAAUUGUUAAACUGGAAAUUUUUCAUUACCAUUUUUCAAUUAUUACAUCCUGGUUUAAAAAUGAGUAAUAGAAUUGUUCAUAAGAAAUAAAUUCGUUAUCUUGGUGUAAUCAGGGGUGUACGGAAUUUUACACCGUUGUUGAAAAUUCAUACACCCAUUCGGC
Molecule: long non-coding RNA, 226 nt
Filed under: Mytilus galloprovincialis (Mediterranean mussel)
Lineage: Eukaryota; Metazoa; Mollusca; Bivalvia; Mytilida; Mytilidae
Source: RNAcentral